This is a long non-coding RNA of Clupea harengus (Atlantic herring), 1508 nucleotides long. The record is from Ensembl. NCBI's taxonomy places the organism in Eukaryota, Metazoa, Chordata, Actinopteri, Clupeiformes, Clupeidae.
AUUUAAACCACCAGGUGCAUGAGAAGGUCUCCUUAACAUGAAAUUACGGCACUAAUGACUUGUCUUCUGUUGAAAGGAUACACUGACUGUUGCCUGCCUGAGUUUAUCCGCAUUAGAAGAACAAUAGCGAGCAGGCGGCAGUGCUCCACUCGUCUCUCUGGAGACCUGCGCUGCGGUCUGGAGCAAGGGGCGCCCAGGGAGGUGGCAGCGGUGACCGUGCUGGAGAAGAGAAGGAGGUGGUGGUGGAGAAGGAGGAGGGGUGUGGGGUGUGUGCUCUGGCUGGAAACAGCUGAGGGGUGGUAUGGAGAGGGGCAACCAAACACAGGCCGGGUCCAAUUCAGCAUGUCAUCAGCUGGCAAGAGAAGACCGGCCACUGCAGGUGGCUCUCAUAGUAAGGAGAGAGAGAGAAAGAGAGAGCGAGAGUGAGAGAGUGAGAGACAGAGAGAGAGAGAGUGAGAGAGUGGAAGAGUUGGGAAUAGGGAAAAGACUUUUGUGACUAAAUCAUUGUGUAGAUCAAGGGUAGCUAAAAAGCCUACUGUAUAGCAUACACACACUAACUAUACCUCCAAAGAAGUAUUUGAAAGAAGAGAGAAAAGUGUGCGAGAGAGACAGAGAGAGAGAAAUGAAUGAGAGGGAAGUGAGAAACACAGAAGGGGAUAAACGAGAGACUGAAAGCGACAGUACAAGUGGAACACACGGACGCAGAGACGGAGAGAUAGAGAAGGGGGGUGGAGAAACGAGAGGGAGAGUGAAUGACAACGAGAGGAAAAAACGAAGGGAGAACAGCCGUCCUUUCCCCGCGGGGCCAUCUCUCCUUUGAACAGCGCCGUUCCCCCCACGCGGGCAUUUCCUCCGCGGAGCACCACGCCUUCACCCUGCCAACCUGGCAACCCUCCGCGUGCUCCACGCAGCACCUCGCUAACUGGCACAGACAGCGGGCACGGCCGUGCCAGCUCCACCCGAGGCCAUGGGGGUUUCUGUCAGUGCCUGAGUGGAGAGGCUCCAGUGGUGGUUUGCCUCUGUCAGGGCUGGGGGCUGGUAGUGGCAACAGCAGUGCAAUAGUACAUCAGUUGGUGUUUGGAGACACUGCAGGAAGAGAGAGUCAGUGCAAUUUAAAUACGCCCGAGGGGAAUGUCUCUCGUCACAGCACGCAAGAUGACAUGGCGGAUAGUUGCUGUGCGGUCAAAGUUUUAUCCUAUUCUGGCACAUUUGUGUUUAUAAAAUGGACACUCAUAUUUUCCCUGUGCAUGUUUAAUGUUUUCCUUGCGAAUGUUCCCUAAAAAGAUGCCCUGCGGGGUCGAUAUACAUGAACAAUCAACAAUGUUAUACAUGACAAACAUGGACAGGAUUUUGGAUAUUUGUGAUUUGGUUUUUCUUCCACAGUCACCAGACUUCAGCUAAACGUGUAAAGCAUACCAUAAGGACUCCAAGAUGUUUUUAAAAAGGAGAAAUGGUAUAAUUUAGAAGUUUAUAGAAUUUCUUUUAAGACUUUAGGCUGUGACAUGGGC